ACUUAAGUAGCUCAACGGUAGAGCAAUAAAUUGAAAAUUUAAAGACUGAGGUUCAACUCCUCGCUUAAGGA
Molecule: non-coding RNA, 71 nt
Organism: Paramicrosporidium saccamoebae
Lineage: Eukaryota; Fungi; Rozellomycota
Source: the annotation of a GenBank genome assembly